GAUGAACGCUGGCGGCGUGCCUAAUACAUGCAAGUCGAGCGAACGGACGAGAAGCUUGCUUCUCUGAUGUUAGCGGCGGACGGGUGAGUAACACGUGGAUAACCUACCUAUAAGACUGGGAUAAUUUCGGGAAACCGGAGCUAAUACCGGAUAAUAUUUUGAACCGCAUGGUUCAAAAGUGAAAGACGGUCUUGCUGUCACUUAUAGAUGGAUCCGCGCUGCAUUAGCUAGUUGGUAAGGUAACGGCUUACCAAGGCAACGAUGCAUAGCCGACCUGAGAGGGUGAUCGGCCACACUGGAACUGAGACACGGGCCAGACUCAUACGGGAGGCAGCAGUAGGGAAUCUUCCGCAAUGGGCGAAAGCCUGACGGAGCAACGCCGCGUGAGUGAUGAAGGUCUUCGGAUCGUAAAACUCUGUUAUUAGGGAAGAACAUAUGUGUAAGUAACUGUGCACAUCUUGACGGUACCUAAUCAGAAAGCCACGGCUAACUACGU
Molecule: ribosomal RNA, 496 nt
Filed under: uncultured bacterium
Lineage: Bacteria
Description: partial 16S ribosomal RNA
Rfam family: Bacterial small subunit ribosomal RNA
Source: RNAcentral